Astatotilapia calliptera (eastern happy) is the source of this 1207-nucleotide long non-coding RNA. NCBI's taxonomy places the organism in Eukaryota, Metazoa, Chordata, Actinopteri, Cichliformes, Cichlidae. The record is from Ensembl.
GCGCUGCAUGUGUUGUUUUGUUUAUCGAAGUGAAGCGUGAAUGCAUCCUUAAAGCUGUGAUUAUAUACCUGAAUGAGAACCCUGAAAAUCUCAUCAAAGAGUACAUGGCUUUCAACGUGAUGGAAGCUGAAGAGCUCGAGAGGAUGGAUUUGGGUGUUUAUAAAAUAAUCCAUGAAGGAGCACAGCCUGAUGACUCCCUUGAAGAUGUUGGCAUCAUUAUCGAGAGAUGCACCGUCUUGCAGGAUCUUCACGAUGUGGCGAGCGGGUGUGCACUUUUGUUUGGGCUAAUUUACUGCCUCAAUCUGAGUUACCCAAAGCCACUUCGCUACACAUUUGAGUUCUUCCAGAAGGUGCUCAUGGGACUGGAAGACAAAAAACUGUCUAACAAAAUACAAGUGCUGAAGAACAAACUCUGCCAAAAGGAGACGCAAUGACUCUUCUAGAUCAAAAUGUCCCCCAAAAUAAGUGCUCUGUUUCACUGUUUAAAAGUUUAUAAAUUGUAUAUAUGUUGAUCCUUGUUUGUAAAUAUUUUGUCAUAGCUUUUAAUAUUUAAGAGAUUUACUGAAUGCUUUUUUUUCUUUUUUUUUCUUUUUUUUGAUUGUGGAAAAGAAAACAUAAUUCAGAAACUGAGUUUUUUGAACUGGGGACAAAAUUACCCAGAUGGAUUGUUUCACAACAUUUUCUUUAGUUUGAGUUGCUGUGGUAAUUCUGCAGACUGUAGCCAUUGCAGACCUACAACUGUACUACACUGCACUGUCACUUAGUUGAAACUGGAAAGUUGUUUCAGAUGUUUACAUUUUAUUUUACACACCAUUUAAUGUUGCAUUAUGCAGUGUUGUUUCCCUGUUUAAGCUUUGCCUCAUUGAAGGCUUUUGUUCAAGUUGUUAAAGCAACACAAUUUAUUUUGUAUUUACACUUCAUAUUAGUUCUCGUGUACCAGGUUUCCAUUGCAGGUCAAAGAUCUUGAGUGUUAUAAAUGUUAAAGUGUAUGUGCAAACAAAUGUGAAAAGGUUCUAAGGUUGUCACCUGUACUCAAGUUAAGUACUGGAUUUUUGGUCUUAGCAUUUAAUUAAGAAUAUUUUGAGAUUUGCUAUACGCAUUUUUUAUUGUAAAAUUUAUUAUAUAAUAGAAAACUUAAAAUUCUGAAUCAGAUUUUUGUAACUGGGGACUAAAUCGUUUUUACCUUUUUGUGUCACUUAAAUAUUUU